GGGAGGCUGACUUCUCAGAUCUGAAAGGAGAGAUUGAUGCUGGGAGGGAGAAAAGCUUAAUGUUAAUAUUCAUCAGAGAUGAGCCCCCUGGCAUUGCAGCCUGAGACUUACCAGAAAAGGAUACGGCACACGCGUUGGUGGGCUUCGGAUCAAGCCUACCAUCUGAGAAGAUGGUAAGAUCAAUUUAAUUUACGUGUCUGGAAACUGAUUUUUUUCCCUCAACUGAUAAGUUAGUUGAAAAAGGAGAACGAAACAGUUCAACUACAGCUUGAUACCAAAUUACCCUCAUUAUAUUAAAAGAAUAAAAUGAUGACAUGAGAUCAUGUAGAUAAAAGAGAGGAUUAUUGUGACUACA
Molecule: long non-coding RNA, 355 nt
Filed under: Callithrix jacchus (white-tufted-ear marmoset)
Lineage: Eukaryota; Metazoa; Chordata; Mammalia; Primates; Cebidae
Description: lncRNA (ENSCJAG00000078163.1)
Source: RNAcentral